RNAcentral lists this ribosomal RNA (254 nucleotides) under uncultured bacterium. Its description in RNAcentral is "partial 16S ribosomal RNA". It matches the Rfam family "Bacterial small subunit ribosomal RNA", at positions 524 to 776 of the family's 1533-position model. The record is from RNAcentral.
GACGUAGGGCGCGAGCGUUGUCCGGAUUUAUUGGGCGUAAAGCGCUCGUAGGCGGUGUGUCACGUCGGCCGUGAAAACCUGGGGCUUAACUCUGGGCGUGCGGUCGAUACGGGCAUCACUAGAGUUCGGCAGGGGAGACUGGAAUUCCUGGUGUAGCGGUGAAAUGCGCAGAUAUCAGGAGGAACACCGGUGGCGAAGGCGGGUCUCUGGGCCGAUACUGACGCUGAGGAGCGAAAGCAUGGGUAGCGAACAGG